CAUAAAGGCAGUUCUUCUAAAACAAAUUUGAAGUGCAGUAGUCAGGACAUUGGCAUCCUAAAUAAUGGAAAAUACAUAUGGGAAACAAAGCUUAAAUCUAAAAGUGAACAAAUUGAGACAAAACCAGAAAUAACGACUAGCUUGCACAGUUCUGAAAGAAGCCAUGAAACCACUAUUGAAAGCAGAACUAAUAAAGGGGGGAAAAGACCAGAUCAGAAGGAGACGUAUAUGUUUCUAGGCUGUGAAAGCCCUGCAGCUUCCUCAGAAAAAGAGAAUAAUGUCAUAAGAGGUAGUGUUAAAAAACACAUUAGUUUGUUUACUUCAGAAAAUCCCAGUACCUCAAUGGAUACAGAGCUUCUCCCAUCAGCUGCUGAGAAGGAAAACAGAUGUGUUAACAUCCAACAGAGAAUCAAAGAACUGACAACAGAAAAUACUGAUGUUAAGCCAGGAAAUCUACGCAGGUCACUUCAAUCACGACCACUUUCUGCGGACUUAACAAAGAUGUUUUCAAGUCCGACGUCAAGCAGUGAAGCAAAGCCCGAGAAACCUGCUGAAACUAGAAACGACUCUAUCAAUGAAAUGCAAGAAAAUCAAAAAAGUAAGGAGAUCAAGCUUGCAUAUGGCACAGAUUUCACUGAAGCACAUGCUAC
This 650-nucleotide long non-coding RNA is filed under the name Aquila chrysaetos chrysaetos. RNAcentral's name for it is "lncRNA (ENSACCG00020010603.1)". Lineage: Eukaryota; Metazoa; Chordata; Aves; Accipitriformes; Accipitridae. The record is from RNAcentral.